UUAUCAAACUCCGAAUGCCAUAUACUAUCAGGUCGGCAGUCAGACUAUGAAAGAUAAGUUCCAUGGUCAAAAGGGAAACAGCCCAGAUCGUCAGCUAAGGUCCCAAAGUGUAAGUUAAGUGGAAAAGGAUGUGGGAUUUCUAAGACAACUAGGAUGUUGGCUUAGAAGCAGCCAUUCAUUAAAAGAGUGCGUAAUAGCUCACUAGUCGAGAGAUCCUGCGCCGAAGAUGUCCGGGGCUCAAACUUACCACCGAAGCUACGGGUUCACACUUAUGUGUGAGCGGUAGAGGAGCGUCGUAAUCGGGCUGAAGUCGUACCGUAAGGAGCGGUGGACUGGUUACGAGUGAGAAUGUUGGCAUCAGUAGCGAGAUGUGGGUGAGAAUCCCACAGGCCGAAAACCUAAGGUUUCCUCAGGAAGGUUCGUCCGCUGAGGGUUAGUCGGGACCUAAGCCGAGGCCGAAAGGCGUAGGCGAUGGACAAUCGGUUGAUAUUCCGAUACCACUACUGAUCGUUAUUAUCGAUGGUGUGACGGAGAAGGAUAGAGUGUGCUAGCUAUUGGAUGCUAGUCUAAGCGUUUAGGGAGUUAGGAAAGGCAAAUCCGUCCUAACAAUUCUGAGGCGUGAUGGGGAAGGUUCUACGGAACCGAAGUAUCUGAUUCCAUGCUUCCAAGAAAAGCAUCUAGGGAGAGAAGUAGUGCCCGUACCGCAAACCGACACAGGUAGGUGAGGAGAGAAUCCUAAGGCCGGCGGAAGAAUUACAGUUAAGGAACUCGGCAAAUUGACCCCGUAAGUUCGCGAGAAGGGGUGCCUACGAGAGUAGGCCGCAGAGAAUAGGCCCAAGCAACUGUUUAGCAAAAACACAGGUCUCUGCUAAAGCGUAAGCUGAUGUAUAGGGGCUGACGCCUGCCCGGUGCUGGAAGGUUAAGGGGAACACUUAGCGCAAGCGAAGGUGUGAACUUAAGCCCCAGUAAACGGCGGCCGUAACUAUAACGGUCCUAAGGUAGCGAAAUUCCUUGUCAGGUAAGUUCUGACCCGCACGAAUGGCGUAAUGACUUGUGCACUGUCUCAACUGCAAAUCCGGCGAAGUUGUAGUGCGAGUGAAGAUGCUCGCUACCCGCGAUUGGACGGAAAGACCCCGUAGAGCUUUACUGUAGCUUAGCAUUGAAUUUCGGUAUUGUCUGUACAGGAUAGGUGGGAGACUGGGAAAUCAGGGCGUCAGCCUUGAUGGAGUCGUUGUUGGGAUACCACCCUGAUAGUAUUGAAAUUCUAACUGGAUGCCAUGAAUCUGGUGACAGGACAUUGUUAGGUGGGCAGUUUGACUGGGGCGGUCGCCUCCUAAAAAGUAACGGAGGCGCCCAAAGGUUCCCUCAGAACGGUCGGAAAUCGUUCGAAGAGUGCAAAGGCAGAAGGGAGCCUGACUGCGACACCCACAAGUGGAGCAGGGACGAAAGUCGGGCUUAGUGAUCCGGUGGUACCUCGUGGGAGGGCCAUCGCUCAACGGAUAAAAGCUACCUCGGGGAUAACAGGCUGAUCUCCCCCAAGAGUCCACAUCGACGGGGAGGUUUGGCACCUCGAUGUCGGCUCGUCGCAUCCUGGGGCUGAAGUAGGUCCCAAGGGUUGGGCUGUUCGCCCAUUAAAGCGGCACGCGAGCUGGGUUCAGAACGUCGUGAGACAGUUCGGUCCCUAUCCGUCGCGGGCGUAGGAAAUUUGAGAGGAGCUGUCCUUAGUACGAGAGGACCGGGAUGGACUGACCUAUGGUGUACCAGUUGUUUCGCCAGAAGCAUUGCUGGGUAGCUAAGUCGGGAAGGGAUAAACGCUGAAAGCAUCUAAGUGUGAAGCCCACCUCAAGAUGAGAUUUCCCAUAGCAUAAGCUAGUAAGACCCCUUGAAGACUACAAGGUUGAUAGGUCAGAGGUGUAAGUGCGGUAACGUAUUUAGCUGACUGAUACUAAUAGGUCGAGGGCUUGACCAA
Molecule: ribosomal RNA, 1969 nt
Filed under: human gut metagenome
Description: bacterial LSU rRNA
Rfam family: Bacterial large subunit ribosomal RNA
Source: RNAcentral